Molecule: ribosomal RNA, 1363 nt
Filed under: uncultured bacterium
Lineage: Bacteria
Description: 16S ribosomal RNA
Rfam family: Bacterial small subunit ribosomal RNA
Source: RNAcentral
UUUGAUCAUGGCUCAAGACGAACGCUGGCGGCGUGCUUAACACAUGCAAGUCGAACGGUAAGGCGCUUUCGGGCGUACACGAGUGGCGAACGGGUGAGUAACACGUGAGGAACGUGCCCUUGACUUUGGUAUAGCACUUGGAAACAGGUGGUAAUCCCGAAUAUUCAGUUUCCCGGGCAUCCGGGUUGUUGGAAAGCUUUUUGCGGUCAGGGAUCGUCUCGCGGCCUAUCAGCUUGUUGGUGGGGUAGUGGCCCACCAAGGCCUUGACGGGUAGCCGGCCUGAGAGGGUGACCGGCCACAUUGGGACUGAGAUACGGCCCAGACUCCUACGGGAGGCAGCAGUGGGGAAUAUUGCACAAUGGGCGGAAGCCUGAUGCGGCAACGCCGCGUGCGGGAUGACGGCCUUCGGGUUGUAAACCGCUUUCACCCAUGACGAAGCGCGAGUGACGGUAGUGGGGGAAGAAGCACCGGCCAACUACGUGCCAGCAGCCGCGGUGAUACGUAGGGUGCGAGCGUUGUCCGGAAUUAUUGGGCGUAAAGAGCUUGUAGGCGGUUGAUCGCGUCGAUAGUGAAAUCCCGGGGCUCAACCUCGGGCUUGCUGUCGAUACGGGUUGACUUGAGGAAGGUAGGGGAGAAUGGAACUCCCGGUGGAGCGGUGGAAUGCGCAGAUAUCGGGAAGAACACCGGUGGCGAAGGCGGUUCUCUGGACCUUUCCUGACGCUGAGAAGCGAAAGCGUGGGGAGCAAACAGGCUUAGAUACCCUGGUAGUCCACGCUGUAAACGGUGGGUACUAGGUGUGGGUCGCAUUCCACGUGAUCCGUGCCGUAGCCAACGCAUUAAGUACCCCGCCUGGGGAGUACGGCCGCAAGGCUAAAACUCAAAGGAAUUGACGGGGCCCCGCACAAGCGGCGGAGCAUGCGGAUUAAUUCGAUGCAAGGCGAAGAACCUUACCUGGGUUUGACAUGUACUGGAAGCGCUCAGAGAUGGGCGUGCCUUUUCGGCCGGUUCACAGGUGGUGUAUGGCUGUCGUCAGCUCGUGUCGUGAGAUGUUGGGUUAAGUCCCGCAACGAGCGCAACCCUCGUCCAAUGUUGCCAGCAGUUCGGCUGGGGACUCGUUGGAGACCGCCGGGGUCAACUCGGGGGAAGGUGGGGAUGAGGUCAAAGUCAUCAUGCCCCUCAUGUCCAGGGCUUCACGCAUGCUACAAAUGGCCGGUACAAAAGAGUUGCGAGCCUGUGAGGGUGAGGAAUUCUCGGAAAGCCGGUCUCAAGUUCGGAUUGGGGUCUGCAAACUCGACCCCAGAAAGUUGGAGGUCGCUAGUAAUCGGCAGAUUCAGGCAAACGCUGCGGUAAUUACGUUCCCGGG